AUUAAGCGCACUUAUGGGUUUCACUGCCCAACAUUUGACCGUCUGUCUUAUUUAAAUUUUUUAUGAUUUAUAUUUUUAUUGUUAUUAGAUGAUAAUAUAUAAAUAGUAAUUUAUGUGCGACUUAAUUUUUAAAACUUUUUUAUAAAUUUUUUAAAUAAGAUGGAUGGUUAAAUGUUAGAUACGAAAACUUAUGGUUGCAUUUAAA
Non-coding RNA from Oryza glaberrima (African rice), 205 nucleotides. The record is from Rfam. NCBI's taxonomy places the organism in Eukaryota, Viridiplantae, Streptophyta, Magnoliopsida, Poales, Poaceae.